RNAcentral lists this ribosomal RNA (388 nucleotides) under uncultured eukaryote. RNAcentral's name for it is "SSU rRNA". It matches the Rfam family "Eukaryotic small subunit ribosomal RNA", at positions 587 to 972 of the family's 1831-position model. The record is from RNAcentral.
AGCUCCAAUAGCGUAUAUUAAAGUUGUUGCAGUUAAAAAGCUCGUAGUUGGAUUUCUGGUUUGAUGCCCUGGCCCGCUUCGAUUUCGUUGUGAGUGCCGGUUGUGCGUCUGCCAUCCUUCUGGAAAACGUCUCUACCCUUCACUGGGCCGGAUUCGCGAUCCAGAUCUUUUACUUUGAAAAAAUUAGAGUGUUUAAAGCAGGCUUUUGCUAUGAAUACAUUAGCAUGGAAUAAUAAUCUAGGACUUCGGUUCUAUUUUGUUGGUUUCUAGUACUGAAGUAAUGAUUGAUAGGGAUAGUUGGGGGUGCUAGUAUUGAGCGGCCAGAGGUGAAAUUCUUGGAUUCGCUCAAGACUAACUUAUGCGAAAGCAUUCACCAAGGAUGUCUUCU